Molecule: long non-coding RNA, 1301 nt
Filed under: Lathyrus oleraceus (garden pea)
Lineage: Eukaryota; Viridiplantae; Streptophyta; Magnoliopsida; Fabales; Fabaceae
Description: Pisum sativum (pea) long non-coding RNA (PSAT_LNC028317)
Source: RNAcentral
UUGAUAGAUGUGUCAUCAUUUGUCCCCAAUAACUGGGGGGUUGUCGCCAACGGCGCUUCCGUAAUUGAGUUUGGUGCCCAUGUUGUCGUAGUUGGGUCGUUGUGGUUGAGUGAAUUGUGGACUGUAUGGUUGCCCGAAUUGGGACAUUGAAUCAGUUUGGAAACUAAGCAAUGAUUAUUGGGGUGUACUAUAGUCAAACAAUGGUUGGAUGUUGUGGUGAUGAGAUUUUUGGGUGUUCAUUGGUGGGGGGCUACGAUGGCAUGACGUUGAAUCAUAUGAAUCAUCUGGGCUAUAGACUGUUGUGGUGGCUGCGUAUGGUUGUUGGUGGUUAGGGUUUAAUUCUUGGUUUUGAGUUUGGGUGUGUGGCAUGAAUUUGUUGCGAGGUUGAGUGUUUGGUUGUUAGGUGUAUAUGGUAGGAUGAUGAUGUGAGGUUGUUCGUUGGGUUUUGGUGGGUUGACAUUGUUCUUGGACGGGGAUUUGUUGUUGGACGUAUGAUGAUGAAUCUCGUUGGCAUGGAUCAAUCAAAUACCUUGACUCUGACACAAAUUGUGGCGUUAUAACCGACCUAAAUCAUGUCAUAUAAUGUUGAGUUGGUCUAGCAUCUUGUAUGACUGUUUUGUUUAAGAUGUGUUAUCGUCGAUUCCUCCAAUGAUGAAACGUCUCUUUUGCGAAGUCUCUCCAGUCGAAAUAAUCCCAUUGGACAUCGACUCUUUGUUGAUGCCAAUCUCCCAAACACGUCGGAGGUUCUGGAAUUUUUUGUUGCAUACCGAACUGCAGUUUUACACGGUUACUCUGGUGCAUCUCCACAGUAGUGAACCAAAUAAUUGGUGUUUUUGCUGUCCAAACUGCAGUAUCAUCAUGGUUAACCUGAUGAUCAAGACCCAUAUAUGGCAUCCAGAUAAAUUGUACAAGAAUAUGACAUGAUUAGAUGAUAUGUAAUUGGAUUUUUUUAAAAAAAAUUAAAUGUAGAGUUGUGUAAUAGUAUUACAUUGUGUGGUCCAAUGUGGUCUAAUAGAUAGCGAUAGACUACAGUGUGUUUCAGACACCUGUUGUUAUUCAUCCCUUUAACUAACCACCUAGAUCAAAAAGAUUUGAAAAAUAGUAUUUACAGUUAGUUGUAAUAUAAAGUCUAAUAAAUUAGAUGGUAAAAUUUUAAACUUACUUUGUUGCAAAGAGAAAUAUGAAUAGUUUCUCGUUUACCGGGGCGAGUGACAACAUUCUUGACCAACCCCAUGCUUAUAGCAAAUACGCGCAUGAAUAAAACGUACAAGUGUGUUUUUUGGCAUUUUUACACAACGCAC